AUUGAACGCUGACGGCAUGCCUUACACAUGCAAGUCGAACGGCAGCACGGGUGCUUGCACCUGGUGGCGAGUGGCGAACGGGUGAGUAAUACAUCGGAACAUGUCCUGUAGUGGGGGAUAGCCCGGCGAAAGCCGGAUUAAUACCGCAUACGAUCUACGGAUGAAAGCGGGGGACCUUCGGGCCUCGCGCUAUAGGGUUGGCCGAUGGCUGAUUAGCUAGUUGGUGGGGUAAAGGCCUACCAAGGCGACGAUCAGUAGCUGGUCUGAGAGGACGACCAGCCACACUGGGACUGAGACACGGCCCAGACUCCUACGGGAGGCAGCAGUGGGGAAUUUUGGACAAUGGGCGAAAGCCUGAUCCAGCAAUGCCGCGUGUGUGAAGAAGGCCUUCGGGUUGUAAAGCACUUUUGUCCGGAAAGAAAUCCUUGGCCCUAAUACGGUCGGGGGAUGACGGUACCGGAAGAAUAAGCACCGGCUAACUACGUG
This 486-nucleotide ribosomal RNA is filed under the name uncultured bacterium. RNAcentral's name for it is "partial 16S ribosomal RNA". It matches the Rfam family "Bacterial small subunit ribosomal RNA", at positions 30 to 507 of the family's 1533-position model. The record is from RNAcentral.